GAUGAACGCUGGCGGCGUGCCUAAUACAUGCAAGUCGAGCGAACAGACGAGGAGCUUGCUCCUCUGACGUUAGCGGCGGACGGGUGAGUAACACGUGGAUAACCUACCUAUAAGACUGGGAUAACUUCGGGAAACCGGAGCUAAUACCGGAUAACAUGUUGAACCGCAUGGUUCAACAGUGAAAGACGGUUUUGCUGUCACUUAUAGAUGGAUCCGCGUCGCAUUAGUUAGUUGGUAAGGUAACGGCUUACCAAGGCAACGAUGCGUAGCCGACCUGAGAGGGUGAUCGGCAACAUUGGAACUGAGACAGGGUCCGGACUCCUACGGGAGGAAGCGGUAGGGAAUCUUCGGAAAUGGGCGAAAGCUUGACGGAGCAACGCGGCGUGAGUGAAGAAGGUCUUCGGAUCGUAAAACUCUGUUAUUAGGGAAGACCAAAUGUGUAAGUAAAUAUGCACGUCUUGACGGUACCUAAUCAGAAAGCCACGGCUAACUACGUG
This 497-nucleotide ribosomal RNA is filed under the name uncultured bacterium. Its description in RNAcentral is "partial 16S ribosomal RNA". It matches the Rfam family "Bacterial small subunit ribosomal RNA", at positions 28 to 507 of the family's 1533-position model. The record is from RNAcentral.